This is a long non-coding RNA of Clupea harengus (Atlantic herring), 2751 nucleotides long. The record is from Ensembl. NCBI's taxonomy places the organism in Eukaryota, Metazoa, Chordata, Actinopteri, Clupeiformes, Clupeidae.
CAGACUGAUUGACAUGUGACAAGCUAGCGUCAUCUUUUGUUGAGAGGUCAAAAUGUCCUUGUCGAAAGCCAAAAGAAAGGUAGAUGAUCAGCACAGACAAUUCCAGGAGAAGUGGGAGAUGGAUUAUUGUUUUGUUGAGUUCAGGCGCAAUGGCUUCAUCUGCAAAGAGAAGUUUGCCGUGUUGAAGGAAUAUAACUUGAAGUGGCAUUAUUGUAUGCAGAGGAGUACGGUAAAUACCAGAGAGAGGAGGGGAGCAAACCCAGCUUAACGAGCCCCCACUGACCGUACAUUGUGGUUUUUACCAUUUGUAUCCAUCACUUUUAGACACAGCCAUUAGCCGUAUGGAUCUUUUGCAGGAGCAAGUCGUGUCUUUUUAGGAUACCCCUUCUCUGCAUCCACAAAACGGGUUUCCUGCGACUUCACAGACUGUCCUUGUUUCUUAAACAUAAUUUAGGCAGUGGAAUCGUUCCGGCGUGCUCAGGAGACCACUCGAGUUCACGAAUCAAAGGUUAAAAGGUGACCCCCCCCAAAAUGACAAGUGAAGAAGAGCCGACCUUGGACAAUUGUGCGACUGGCUAGUUUUCGAUGAGGAGAGGCUUAUCAGCUAGUGUUUUGGGCCCACUGAUGGAGACUAUCAAGGACCAUGAACCCUCCAGAUGCCAUGAGGUGAUCUGCAGCAUACAAGCGCAAGAAAGUCCGUCUAGAGCCAGUGCCAGAGGUGGCGAUUCCCAGACCUCAGAGGGUCCGCCCGAUCCUCAGGAGGCUGAGGAAGUUCCUGAAAAAGGAACAAGCCCUUGUGGCAGAGGGCUCUGUACGGGAGCCCCAGACAACAGGGUCAGAGGUCACCCCUCACAUCCCCUCAGAGGUCUCGGCCAUUCCGAUCACACCUAGUCCAAAUGCCCUUCAAGAGACCGAGAAGGAGGAGACUAAGGUGAUCAAGGCCAUCCUUCAUGAGGACCCUGUUAAAAUGGAGGACCUCGAGGGAGAGGAGGAGACCAACUCGUCCCUUGUGCCUGCAGUGCUUGGGCCCUCCUCCAGCUCCUUGGAACGCUGUGUGACCCAGCUGAUGGGGCAAGACGUUGCCAAGAGGGAAAGAUCAUCAAGGGGCAGAAGCCCCUCUGCUGCAUUAACUGCCCCAGACAAUAGUGUUGCCCUCCUCCAACCUCAGCAGCUGAAGUGCAGAGGGCUGCCCAACCUGGGGCAUACCUGCUACCUGAACGCCACACUGCAGUGUCUGCUCCACCUGCAGCCUCUCUGCACUCAGCUGCUGGUGCAGGAGGAGGUGUGGAGGAUGGAGCCAAAGGCACUGCUGCUCGGUUCGUUUGUAGGACUGGUACUCCUCAGAGGGUCCUUUGAAAUGGACAUGAAGGCAGCUGUACUACUGGAGCUCAAGGACCAAAUCUCCCUGCACAACCAGGAGUUUGAGGGGAACUCGCAGAACGGGAGAACCUAGCGAUGACUUAGCAAUGACGCCCAUGAGUUCCUCUCAGAGUGUCUACUGCGGCUGAGGGUCAUCGGCCAGGCACUGGCCAUGGGCGACAUGGCCUACCAGUGCCCAGUGGACACUCUGCUCUCCUUCCAGCUCCGGUAUAUAAGAACUUGCCAGAGCUGUGGAGUUGAGAGCAUGAGGGAUGAGGUUAACACCAUGCUCUCCCUCGACCUGGUUGUACAGGGAUCGAUAAGAGACAGCCUCCAGCUCUUUUUCACUGAAUCAAAUGUGGAGUUCCGGUGUGAGUGCUGUGAGGGUCGGGUGUCAACCUUGAGGUGUCAUUUCCACACUCUGCCUCAGGUGUUGAUCCUCCACCUCAAGAGGUUCUGUCCCCUGACCCUCACCAAACAACACCAGGCGGUCACACUGGACCCCAUUCUGGACCUGAGGACACUAGGGGAAAGGAUUGAAGAUGUCCUUAGGACGCCUCCUCCAACCAGAGGAAGGAGAGGGACAUUAUACCUUAAUAAAUGUCCUUAGCCACAUUGGCUCAGAUACCACCAGCGGCCACUACAUGGCCGACUGUGAGGAACAGCCAGGCCAGUGGGUCACAUACAGUGACCACUGUGUCUCAGUGAAAGCUGAGGAGGCCGUCCUCAAAGACAGGGAGAGGAUGGCCUACAUACUUUUUUACAUCAAAAAGGUGACACAUGCUGGAGUACAGUGUCACACUGAGUAGUUUGAGCGCUGGCUGCUGUGUAGAUGAAGCUCAUCCUUCGACUCUUUGCUCAGUAGUGUCCAGCAUAGGUGGAGAGACCGGGACAGAGACCCUGGUGAGAGACCGGGACAGAGACCCUGGUGAGAGAUGGGGAGGGAGACUCAGGCACUCAGUGGACAGUUUGUUUAAUGUGGAAAAUGAUUGACAUGCAUAAGAACAUAAAAGCUGUUUGAUCUUGUGGGAAUGAAUGCUAUGUGAAUGUGUGCCUUUUCUAAAUGUACAAGUAACUUAUGUAGGAGUUGGUGUAAUAGUGGGGCGUGUUUGCAUCGUGUAUUAAUAAGAAACUGCAAAUUGUCCUUUCAGGAAGGAAAGGGACAUUAAUUAAGGAAUAAUGUUCUCAGCCACAUUGGCUCAGAUACCACCAGCGGCCACUACAUGGCCGACUUUGAGGAACAGCCAGGCCAGUGGGUCACAUACAGUGACCACUGUGUCUCAGUGAGAGCUGAGGAGGCCAUCCUCAAAGACAGGGAGAGGAUGGCCUACAUUCUUUUUUUACAUCAAAAAGGUAAUUUACACCAGCCACAGCUUAACACUUACAUCUGUA